AGCUUUGCACAACGGCAGUGUCAUAGCCAAUGAGGCUUAUCUGAGGUGCAAUUAUUGCUAAUUGGAAUCUCUUCAUAGAUCAAAGAUAUUUGUGUCUAUCCCUAGUUUGCUAAGAACUUUUAUCGCAAAUGGAUGUUG
This 138-nucleotide small nuclear RNA is filed under the name Canis lupus dingo (dingo). RNAcentral describes it as "U4 spliceosomal RNA (ENSCAFG00020014318.1)". It matches the Rfam family "U4 spliceosomal RNA". Rfam says of the family: U4 small nuclear RNA (U4 snRNA) is a component of the major U2-dependent spliceosome. The record is from Rfam by way of RNAcentral. Lineage: Eukaryota; Metazoa; Chordata; Mammalia; Carnivora; Canidae.